Long non-coding RNA from Gopherus flavomarginatus (Mexican gopher tortoise), 575 nucleotides. RefSeq lists it as uncharacterized. The transcript is spliced from 2 exons. NCBI's taxonomy places the organism in Eukaryota, Metazoa, Chordata, Testudines, Testudinidae. The record is from RefSeq and is a predicted model, not a curated record.
CUCCAUGUUCAGAUAUGGCUCUGCGGGAGCUUUGGGGUGUAUUGGGGGGUCAGGACUAGGGGAUGGGGAUGUUGGGGGGCUCCAUGUUCAGACAUGGCUCUGCGGGAGCUUUGGGGGCUGGAGCUGGGGAAAGUGGGGGACAGUCUGAAGUUGGCUGCUUGGGAUGUGGGUGAGGCCCCGGGGAGCAGGGGUUUGGGCUGCAGCCCUGUCACUGCAGCCUGGGGCCCUGUGUUUUCUCUGGAAAAGCUUCUCCCUGUUUCACCAUCUCCUCUCAGUCUGAGUCCCAGGGACCCUGCACAGGCGUCUGCAGGGCAGGAGGGGCCCUGAAAUCUGGCAGCUGGGAGGUUUGCAGCAGUUUCUAACCCUCCCUCCCCUGCUUCUUCCAGGAGGUACCACAAAAGUAUCUGGCCCCUCUGGGAAAAGAGGGAGAAGCAGCUAAAGCCGAGGAGGAGCGACAAAGUCAGGAGCUGCUGAAACAGACGGCAGCCGAGAGGCAGAAGAUCGUCGGGGAGUGGCAGGAGCUGCGAGGGUGUCUGGAGGAGCAGGAACAGCGUCUGCUGGCCCGGCUGGAAGAG